RNAcentral lists this ribosomal RNA (253 nucleotides) under uncultured bacterium. Its description in RNAcentral is "partial 16S ribosomal RNA". It matches the Rfam family "Bacterial small subunit ribosomal RNA", at positions 524 to 776 of the family's 1533-position model. The record is from RNAcentral.
GACGGAGGAUGCAAGCGUUAUCCGGAAUGAUUGGGCGUAAAGCGUCCGCAGGUGGCAGUUCAAGUCUGCUGUCAAAGACCGGGGCUUAACUUCGGAAAGGCAGUGGAAACUGAACAGCUAGAGUAUGGUAGGGGCAGAGGGAAUUCCCAGUGUAGCGGUGAAAUGCGUAGAGAUUGGGAAGAACACCGGUGGCGAAAGCGCUCUGCUGGGCCGCAACUGACACUAAUGGACGAAAGCUAGGGGAGCGAAUGGG